UAUCUCCAACCACACACAAACUACCAACACACAAUAACCCACCGUUGGGAUCAUCCAAGUGAUACCCACCGCCACACCAUAUUGUAUGAAAGCUAAACCCUUGCAAAGUUGGGAUAGUGAACAGUGUCGUUACCGAGAUUUUGAAUUUGUUCUCGGUUAUGCAGGAAAACCACCAUCUAUCUAUUACAAACCGGACACCCCACCGUUGGAGAAUAACGAACAGUACGAUAGCGACUAGACAAAAUUUCCCCUGAAGAAGACCGACAAAACCGGUCGAAACGUCGGGCAGUUUUAAUAUAAACAUCGCUUGAUUAUUUUUAACUGACUGAGAAAGCCGACCAAUCGAAAG
Long non-coding RNA from Culex pipiens pallens (northern house mosquito), 349 nucleotides. RefSeq lists it as uncharacterized. The transcript is spliced from 3 exons. NCBI's taxonomy places the organism in Eukaryota, Metazoa, Arthropoda, Insecta, Diptera, Culicidae. The record is from RefSeq and is a predicted model, not a curated record.